UUUAACUCACCAAAUUUCCGGCUCCCUCCAUGCCAUCAGAUGUGCCAAAUAAGAAAAACAACAUCAUGAUGCUACUGUCGAGAAGAACUAACAAUCUUAUCCUUUGUCAAGACUUGUCAAGAAGAAAGACGUUCCAAGCUUGUAUUAUUAGUUCUGACAUGUAUUAUUAUUUCUUUCUAAAAUUCCUUUAAAUGGUACAUUGGUUAUACCAAGUGGUAGUUUAGAUACUUAUGAAAACAAUGCUCAUGGCUUCUUGACGGAUAAUUAUUAAUGACAUUAUUUAACAACACAUUUACAAAAAAAAACCUCCUAAUCAAUGAAAUCA
Molecule: long non-coding RNA, 325 nt
Filed under: Musa acuminata (dwarf banana)
Lineage: Eukaryota; Viridiplantae; Streptophyta; Magnoliopsida; Zingiberales; Musaceae
Description: long non-coding RNA (MACU_LNC004161)
Source: RNAcentral